UACGAGAGGUCCUAGCGUUAAUCGGAAUCACUGGGCUUAAAGGGUGCGUAGGCGGGCCUGUAAGUGCUUUGUGAAAUCCCAUGGCUCAACCAUGGAAUUGCAGGGCAUACUGCAGGUCUUGAGGAAUCUAGAGGCCGGCGGAACGAUAGGUGGAGCGGUGGAAUGCGUAGAUAUCUAUCGGAACGCCAAAGGUGAAGACAGCCGGCUGGGGAUUUCCUGACGCUGAGGCACGAAAGCGUGGGGAUCAAACAGG
RNAcentral lists this ribosomal RNA (253 nucleotides) under uncultured bacterium. RNAcentral's name for it is "partial 16S ribosomal RNA". It matches the Rfam family "Bacterial small subunit ribosomal RNA", at positions 524 to 776 of the family's 1533-position model. The record is from RNAcentral.